Dioscorea cayenensis subsp. rotundata (Guinea yam) is the source of this 481-nucleotide long non-coding RNA. RefSeq lists it as uncharacterized. The record is from RefSeq and is a predicted model, not a curated record. The transcript has 3 exons. NCBI's taxonomy places the organism in Eukaryota, Viridiplantae, Streptophyta, Magnoliopsida, Dioscoreales, Dioscoreaceae.
UUACAUUGUUCUUAACUUCUUUGAGACUCUUGACAAAAUUUUACUGCCUAAGCUUGAAGAAUAAACAGAAGACUAAUUACUUCAGCACACUAGAUUAAGAAAGGACUAUAGCUAGUAUUGAGCACGGAAAGACAGAAGAGAGUCAAUGCUGCAGCAAGCAUGAAGUCAUGUCACAAAGAAGCUUAAAGGUCCAAUUAUGUGAAAGGGAUCAAUGGUGGAGAACUAAAGACAGUAAGAAAUAUCUAGAUCAUUCACUUUAUAAUGGGUCACUAUUUUGAGGACAAACUUAGUGAAAGUUUUUUUCAAUUGAGAGCUUUGAGAAUUUUUAUAGGUUUUGGACAAUGUUUAUAUACUCCCUCUUAGCUUUCUCCAACGGACCCCCCUCCAUCAACCAUUUGGCAGGAUCUAGAUUCACAUUUGUUCACAAACUUGUGGCAAAACUUCAACCAAGUGAUGUUUAACAUUUGAAACUUUUGUUUCU